GUCGCUCGGCAACAGGCCCUAGAGAAACAAAGGAAGAUGACAUCCACGGGUUGAAUAUUCUUGCGGAAAACAGCGCUUCCUUUAUUGCGACUCUGAACAAAGAUGACGUCAGCGAUGCCAAGGCUUAUAAAUACAUGAGGCGAGUGGACGCGACAUCAGAGGACAAAGCGACAGUGGGCGGGAACGAAGCAGACGACAAGGCAGACGGUUCUGAAACUUCGGACUCUUCAACAACAGACUCCUUCGACAGCAAAAACAAAACCGACAAAGAAGGACUGGUAAAAAGUAAUGGCAAUGAUGACAAAGAAAUACAAGGUUUUGAUAAUCCGACAAGCAGACUAUAGAAAUGAUUACCAAAAAAAAAAAUGGCAAUAAGGAACAAAAAUCUCUACUUUGACCGCAGGCUAUAACAAAAAAAAAAAUAUCCUAAGAUUUCAGUAAUCGGACAAUCUAGUUGUAACUCCAAGGUAACGAAAUUUGCACUAGCGGACAAUAAGGAAUAUAAUUCUCCAAUUUUUGGAUAAUUUAACAAGCAGACAGUACCGAUGAUGCCAAAUAUCUAUCUGGAAAACAGGCUGUGAAUAUAAGGAUUCAACCAAAAACACAACAAGUAGACAUUAGGAAAGAAUAGAAUGCAUGGUGUUUAAUCUAUCCGAUAAUAGAGAAUUUAUCCAUAUUCUUUAGAAAAAUUAUUGCUUAAAAUGAAAAACAUACUUAUAUUAUUCAUACAUUACAUCAUAAAUGAAGGCUUACAUCAGUCAGUUCCAACAAAGAACUUAAAUAAAUCAAAUUAUGUUUAAUAUAGCUGUUUUAGUACGACACUGUUAUUUCCAUUUGAAAUGCAUUGCCUUACUUCGUUAUCUGUAUUUAUUAUUUCAUGCAUUAAUACUCUGCUCAAUAACAUUGUUGCAGACUAAAACAUGGACUUAUGAAAAUAGCAACUUUAGAAAUUAUUUACAAGGUGUGUUAUCAUUCCAGAAAGAAUGUAAGUGUAAAAAUAUAACAUUCUGUCAUGUUAAUCAAAAGUUGAUUGAAAGUUAUCGUGUCUAAGUUUGCCAUAGUUUAAUGACAAUGUGGUUCUCUGGUGAUUAGACAGUUUUGAAAAGUGGCCUUCUAAGUACUUGUACAAUCCACAUAAUGAUGCAUGA
This is a long non-coding RNA of Mercenaria mercenaria, 1148 nucleotides long. RefSeq lists it as uncharacterized. The record is from RefSeq and is a predicted model, not a curated record. The transcript is spliced from 4 exons. Lineage: Eukaryota; Metazoa; Mollusca; Bivalvia; Venerida; Veneridae.